Molecule: ribosomal RNA, 495 nt
Filed under: uncultured bacterium
Lineage: Bacteria
Description: partial 16S ribosomal RNA
Rfam family: Bacterial small subunit ribosomal RNA
Source: RNAcentral
UGAACGCUGGCGGCGUGCCUACUACAUGCAAGUCGAGCGAACAGACGAGGAGCUUGCUCCUCUGACGUUAGCGGCGGACGGGUGAGUAACACGUGGAUAACCUACCUAUAAGACUGGGAUAACUUCGGGAAACCGGAGCUAAUAACGGAUAAUAUAUUGAACCGCAUGGUUCAAUAGUGAAAGACGGUUUUGCUGUCACUUAUAGAUGGAUCCGCGCCGCAUUAGCUAGUUGGUAAGGUAACGGCUUACCAAGGCAACGAUGCGUAGCCGACCUGAGAGGGUGAUCGGCCACACUGGAACUGAGACACGGUCCAGACUCCUACGGGAGGCAGCAGUAGGGAAUCUUCCGCAAUGGGCGAAAGCCUGACGGAGCAACGCCGCGUGAGUGAUGAAGGUCUUCGGAUCGUAAAACUCUGUUAUUAGGGAAGAACAAAUGUGUAAGUAACUAUGCACGUCUUGACGGUACCUAAUCAGAAAGCCACGGCUAACUACGUG